Molecule: RNase P RNA, 391 nt
Filed under: Sphaerisporangium rubeum
Lineage: Bacteria; Bacillati; Actinomycetota; Actinomycetes; Streptosporangiales; Streptosporangiaceae
Description: Bacterial RNase P class A
Rfam family: Bacterial RNase P class A
About the family: Ribonuclease P (RNase P) is a ubiquitous endoribonuclease, found in archaea, bacteria and eukarya as well as chloroplasts and mitochondria. Its best characterised activity is the generation of mature 5'-ends of tRNAs by cleaving the 5'-leader elements of precursor-tRNAs. Cellular RNase Ps are ribonucleoproteins.
Source: Rfam by way of RNAcentral
CGAGCCGGCCGGGCGGCCGCGUCGGGGCCAGGCCCCGCCGAGGAAGGUCCGGGCUCCACAGGGCAAGGUGGUCGGUAACACCGACCCGGGGCGACCCGCGGGACAGUGCCACAGAAAACAAACCGCCUCCCCCUUCGGGGAAGGUAAGGGUGAAACGGUGGUGUAAGAGACCACCAGCGCUCACGGUGACGUGAGCGGCUAGGUAAACCCCACCUGGAGCAAGGUCAAGAAGGGACUCUCGCAAGAGAGCCCCGCGCGCGGCACUUGAGGGCGACCCGUCCGAGUCGCGCGGGUAGACCGCUUGAGGCCGUCGGCAACGACGACCCUAGAUGGAUGGCCGCCUCUUCGCACCAGCGAAGAACAGAACCCGGCCUACAGGCCGGCUCGCCCG